UGAGUAACGCGUGAGCGACCAACCUUGCACGAGGGGAUAACGGACCGAAAGGUUCACUAAUACCGCAUGAGACCACGGUGUUGCAUGACACAGAGGUCAAAGGAGCAAUCCGGUGCAAGACGGGCUCGCGUCCGAUUAGGUAGUUGGAGGGGUAACGGCCCACCCAAGCCUAUGAUCGGUAGCCGACCUGAGAGGGUGAUCGGCCACAUUGGAACUGAGAUACGGUCCAAACUCCUACGGGAGGCAGCAGUGGGGAAUAUUGGGCAAUGGGGGAAACCCUUCGACCCAGCAACGCCGCGUGAAGGAAGAAGGUUUUCGGAUUGUAAACUUCUGUCUUAUGGGACGAAACAAAUGACGGUACCAUAGGAGGAAGCCACGGCUAACUACGUGCCAGCAGCAGC
This 401-nucleotide ribosomal RNA is filed under the name uncultured bacterium. RNAcentral's name for it is "bacterial SSU rRNA". It matches the Rfam family "Bacterial small subunit ribosomal RNA", at positions 107 to 518 of the family's 1533-position model. The record is from RNAcentral.